This 367-nucleotide long non-coding RNA is filed under the name Fragaria vesca (wild strawberry). RNAcentral describes it as "long non-coding RNA (FVES_LNC004691)". Lineage: Eukaryota; Viridiplantae; Streptophyta; Magnoliopsida; Rosales; Rosaceae. The record is from RNAcentral.
GUUUGUCGGUCACUAUUUGCUUUUUAGUUGAGUUUUCACUUUUGAGGAUGACUUGGUUUGCAUAAAUUGCAUAUUUUUCACCUUUUAUUUGAUUUGAAGGCUUUCAGCCAACAUAUCUAUGACAUGGUAGUUUUAACUACUCUUGUGGUUCUUACUUAAUUAGGUGUGUUUCUCAAGUUAGGUUCGAACAUCGACACUGUAAAAAGUGAUCAUAAGAAGGGCUAUAAUGCUCUGCUAGCUGAUCGAGUUCCCAACAGAUUAGUCAUUCGGCUUAAGAAAAAAACCAUCGAGAUACCACAACUUGUUCAAAAGAAAAAAUGGCAAUAUAAUUUUAGUUUUUGAUGAUACUGAUCAAUUAUACGUUUUA